This 810-nucleotide long non-coding RNA is filed under the name Phascolarctos cinereus (koala). RNAcentral's name for it is "lncRNA (ENSPCIG00000015726.2)". Lineage: Eukaryota; Metazoa; Chordata; Mammalia; Diprotodontia; Phascolarctidae. The record is from RNAcentral.
CACAGCUAGGAAGUGUCUGAGAGAGGGUUUAAACUCAGGUCUUCCUGACUCCAGGCUCACAGCUGUACCUGCUGCACUACCUAGGGUAUGGCACAUGGGCUGAGCCUUGAAGUGGGCUAAGCAUUCUGAGAUGCAGAGGUGAGAGUGUAUUCCAGGUGUUAGAGACAGCUCGUGCACAGCCACAGUAUGGGAGAGGCUGUUGAGUUCAGGGAAGCCAGCACCAGGAGCUGUCCAGUUUGUCAUGUUUGUGUUGCUGCUCUUCAGACAGAACAUAAACUACAACUCAAACUCUCAGCUAAAUCAUGGCCAGGACCCUGGAGAAAUGUGGGAAGGAAAGCAUGGACUGCAUAAGCGACCUCAUUUGAUGUACAUAGAAGUGCUGCUUCUGAAUUGAUUUUCAUGGUAACCGGGAGUACGAAGAGGUUGAAAGGAAGUCCUUCACUAAGACCUGGCAGACACCCUCCACCUGACAGGAGUAACAAUCCCACCUAGAAGAAAAUCAUGGCAGAGAUGACAAAGCAGUGAGGACCCCAGCUCAGCUUUUUAAAAAAAGACCAGAACACCAGCUAUUCUGCAGCAGAAGAGGCAUAAGUUGUCCCAGAUACAUGUGAACUUUGAUCACAUGUGUUUUUAACAUGCAUGCCCCGUUCUUUGUAUUUCCUGGUCAUGCAUGUUCCCCAAGGAUGUCUCCUAUUGUACUGGAAGUAUGGUAACUUAUGAGAGAAUGUAUCCCUGUGCAUAUAGGAGAAAGCUUUUUUUUUUAUCUUAUAUUAAAUUAUAUUUAAUACCAUACAAUGUUUUUUGUUUUUU